Long non-coding RNA from Marmota monax (woodchuck), 486 nucleotides. RefSeq lists it as uncharacterized. NCBI's taxonomy places the organism in Eukaryota, Metazoa, Chordata, Mammalia, Rodentia, Sciuridae. The record is from RefSeq and is a predicted model, not a curated record. The transcript has 3 exons.
CUCAGCAGCAAUUCAAGGAUCUUCUUGCUCACAUUCUCUGUUCAUUGGCCCCACUUCCUCUGUGGGACUCAGGUCUCUGGUCUUUCUGCUCUCCAGGCUCCCAGCUUCAAACAUCAGAAGAAACUGCACACUGCAAAAUGGUUACUCAUGGAAGAGCAAAAAUGCUUCUUUUGAGGCCCAGGAAGAAAUUAACAAGUCUCCAGAAAGACAGACUCAGGGAACUCAACAGCAUCUGUCCACACUCUGCUGUUAUUGAAUCAGUUCAAAGGAUUUUUUUCAGGCAUUGCAUUUCUUUUCCAAGUUUCAAAGUCUCAGGUACAGAUACAUUUGCUUGCAAAAACAGGAAGUACACCCAAAAAGGGCUGCCCUUGAGCUGGAUGGAACGAGACCUUCAUACCCUGAGAGCAAGCUGCAUCUUAUACUAUGUUAUCAUAUUAUUCAUUUAUUUUUGUAGAAUUAGAGCUUAAUAAAAUCUUAUUUAAUGUC